This 251-nucleotide long non-coding RNA is filed under the name Physcomitrium patens. Its description in RNAcentral is "long non-coding RNA (PPAT_LNC005479)". Lineage: Eukaryota; Viridiplantae; Streptophyta; Bryopsida; Funariales; Funariaceae. The record is from RNAcentral.
UUACUGUGAUAGUGUGAGCCGGGGUAAGCUUAGUGCUACCUCUUUUCUUUUGUUUGUUAUUUUCUUUGAAUAAGAAGAUUAAGAGUUUCUGAAUAUUGUGAAAGUGAAUUAUAGAAUGGAAGUAUGAUUGUUAUUAAAUGGAAAGAAGAAAGAUUGAAUGCUGAAAUCUGAUUGUAGUUCAGCAGAGAGAAUGAGUCUGUGUUUGUGUGAAACACUGUAAUAUGAAGGCAGUUAAUGGUGAAGAACUCCAG